AUCUUUCGUAGUUCAUAAGCCUAAUGAUUGUGUGUUCACAGGCAUGUGUGAGAUAUGCCUCCCUCAAACCUUGUUAUGACAUUGGCACAGCCAAAA
Callithrix jacchus (white-tufted-ear marmoset) is the source of this 96-nucleotide small nucleolar RNA. The record is from Ensembl. Lineage: Eukaryota; Metazoa; Chordata; Mammalia; Primates; Cebidae.